AAACCCAAGGGCGGUGCCGGGAUUUGGUGCGCACGCGCGCUGCCUCAUUUCCGGUGCUCUCUCUGGCUGGGUCGCUCGGGUCGGCUUCGGUCGCUGUUGCUCCCGCUCUACCACCGCCGCCACCAACCGCCGCCCGGGCCUCGGCCGCUGCCGCGUCGGUCCCCUCGAUCGCUCGAUCGCACAUCCUCCGCGAUGCAGCGCCGGGACGACCCCGCCGCGCGCAUGACCCGGUCCUCGGGCCGCAGUGGCUCCAUGGACCCCUCGGGUGCCCACCCCUCGGUGCGUCAGACGCCGUCUCGGCAACCGCCGCUGCCUCACCGGUCCCGGGGAGGCGGAGGGGGGCCCCGGGGGGGCGCCCGGGCCUCGCCCGCCACGCAGCCGCCGCCACUGCUGCCGCCCUCGGCCACGGGUCCCGACGCGACGGUGGGUGGUCCGGCGCCGACCCCGCUGCUGCCCCCAUCAGCCACGGCCUCGGUCAAGAUGGAGCCUGAGAACAAGUACCUGCCCGAACUCAUGGCCGAGAAGGACUCGCUCGACCCGUCCUUCACUCAUGCCAUGCAGCUGCUGACUGCAGAAAUUGAGAAGAUUCAGAAAGGGGAUUCAAAAAAGGAUGAUGAGGAGAAUUACUUGGAUUUAUUUUCUCAUAAGAACAUGAAGCUGAAAGAGCGGGUACUGAUUCCUGUCAAGCAGUAUCCCAAGUUCAAUUUUGUUGGAAAGAUUCUUGGACCACAAGGAAAUACAAUAAAAAGGCUGCAGGAAGAGACUGGUGCAAAGAUCUCUGUGUUGGGAAAGGGUUCAAUGAGAGACAAAGCCAAGGAGGAAGAGCUGCGCAAAGGUGGAGACCCUAAAUAUGCCCACUUGAACAUGGAUCUGCAUGUCUUCAUUGAAGUCUUUGGACCUCCAUGUGAGGCUUAUGCUCUCAUGGCCCAUGCCAUGGAGGAAGUCAAGAAGUUUCUAGUACCAGAUAUGAUGGAUGAUAUCUGCCAGGAGCAAUUUCUGGAGCUGUCCUACUUGAAUGGAGUACCUGAGCCCUCUCGUGGACGAGGGGUGCCAGUGAGGGGCCGGGGAGCCGCACCUCCCCCUCCACCUGUUCCAAGGGGCCGUGGAGUUGGACCACCUCGGGGGGCUCUGGUGCGUGGUACACCAGUGAGAGGAGCCAUCACCAGAGGUGCCACUGUGACUCGAGGAGUGCCACCCCCACCUACUGUGAGGGGUGCUCCAACACCAAGAGCACGGACAGCAGGCAUCCAGAGGAUACCUUUGCCUCCACCCCCUGCACCAGAAACAUAUGAAGAAUAUGGAUAUGAUGACACAUAUGCAGAACAGAGCUAUGAAGGCUAUGAAGGCUAUUACAGUCAGAGCCAAGGGGACUCAGAAUAUUAUGACUAUGGACAUGGGGAGGUUCAAGAUUCUUAUGAAGCUUAUGGCCAAGACGACUGGAAUGGGACCAGGCCAUCACUGAAGGCCCCUCCAGCUAGGCCAGUGAAGGGCGCAUACAGAGAACAUCCAUAUGGACGUUAUUAAAAACAAACAGGAGGGGAAAAUAGCAGUUAUGAGCAAAGUUGUUACUGAUUUCUUGUAUCUCCCAGGAUUCCUGUUGCUUUACCCACAACAGACAAGUGAUUGAAAACUCCUGAGGCACUUCCCAGAGUAGACUGGGUAAUGAAGACCGCUAUCAGGUGGCCGCAACAGCUGGAACUGAGCCGAUCUGAAGUCAGGAGCCAGGAGCUUUUUCUGGGUCUCCCAAGGACUUGGCCAUCUUUCACUGCUUUCUCAGGCCAUAGCAGAGAGCUGGAUUGGAAGAGGAGCAGCUGGGACUGGAACUGGUGCCCAUAUGGGAUGCCGCCACCACAGGGGGAGGAUUAACCUGUGCCACAGUGCCAGCCCCCAAAUUGAAUUUUUUGUCUUUUUAUUAUAGGUUCUGGAUCAGAUAUAUGAUUUGCAAAUAUUUUCUGCCAUUCAACUUAGUGUCAUUUUACUUUGAAGCACAGAAGUUUUUCAUUUUGAUGAGGUCCAAUUAUCUGUUGUUUCUUUUGUUUCUUGUACUUUUGAUGGUGUAUGCAAGAAACCAUUUGUCUCAUUCAAGGUCAGGAAGAUUUACAUCCCCAAUCUCUUCCGAGAGGGUUUUUUUUUUUUUUAAUAUUGAUUUAUUUUCACCUACUUGAAAGGCAGAUUUACAAAGAGAGAGCCAUCUUCUCACAGGUUCACUCCCCAAAUACCUACAACAGCCAGGACUGGCCCAGACCAAAGCCAGGAAUCCAGAAUUCCAUCUGGGUCUCCCACAUGGUCUCUGACAUGGCCCAGACACUUGAGGUAUCAUCUGUUGCCUCCUGAGUGUGCAGUAGCAGGAAGCUGGCUUGGAAAUUGAGUAGCUGGGACUCAGACUGGCACUCUGAUAUGGAAUGCAACUGUUCUGGGUGGCUUAACCUGCUGUACCACAGUGUCCACUCCAUUGGACAGUGUUUUAGACUUUUUUCCUUAUUUAUUUUUUAAAUUUAUUUGAAAGGCAGAUUUAUAGAGAGACAUCUUCUGUCUGCUGGUUCACUCUUCAAGUGGCUGCAAUGGCCAGUGGUGGGCCAGGCCAAAGCCGGAAGUCAGGAACUCCAUUUCGAUCUUCCACAUAGGUGGCAGGGGCCCAAGUACUCAGCCCAUCUUCUGCUUUCCCAAGCAUAUUAACAAGAAGCUAGAUCAAAAGCAAAGCAGUCAGGACUCAAACCCUUGCUCAUACAGGAUGCCUGCACCACAGAUGGUAGCUUAACCCCUGAGCCACAACCUCUGCCUCAAGUUUUUAUUACAUUUAUGAAUCCGUGAGGUAGGGAUUCAGAUCAUUAUUUAAAAGAAAAAUUAUUUAUUUACUUAUUUGAAAGGCAGAGUUACAGAGAGGGAGAAGAGUCAGAGAUAGAUCUUCCAUCUAUGGGUUCACUCCCCAGAUGGCAUCAAUGGCCAAGGCUAGGCCAUACCAGAGCUGAGCCGGGAACUUAUCCAGGUUUCCCAAGUUUCCCAGGUGGAUGGCAGGAGCCCAGACACUUGGGCCAUCUUCCACUGUUCUGCCCAGGCCAUUAACAGGGAGCUGGAUUGGAAGUAAAGCAGCCAAGACACAGACCAGUGCCACUGUGGGAUGCCGGUGUUAGAGGUGGCAGAUUUACCCACUAUGCCACAAUGCUGGUCCCUCAGAUCAUUCUUUGCAUGUGAAUAUUUGUUUGUCCAGCACCAUUUGUCAGACUUUUCUUUCUCCAAUGUGUGAUCUUGACCCCUGUGAGAAACCUGUUGAUUCAUAUGGACCUGCCUUUUGAAGUAGGUUUUCCUUAGUGGUGAGUGCCACCCGAGGCAUAUCAGAGCUGCUCAGUGCUAAAUAUAGCUGAUCGGAUUAUUGGCUUCACAGAGCUUUAAGUGAUGGAACUGAGAUUUGAUUCCAGGUGGGGCAACGGCAAAGCAUGCACAUGAGGUGGCCCUGGCUGCUACACCUGACCAUAGGGAGUUCUCCAGAAACUCAGACUGAGCUCCAUUGUGCCCAGCCAUCAUCAUCGCCCAUAUGUCCAUCUGUCCCCGCUUUCCUCUCCACACAGUGUCCGUGAAGACUGGGAGUGACUCUGGUCAAUGACAGUUACUACUAAGGGAACACUCACCCAGAGAUGCAGCCUUAGCUGCCUUAGCGUUUUCCUGUUCUCUCUCAACUUGUUCCCGGGCUGAAAAUGAAGUUAGAGAUGCAUCAAGAGCUGCUUGGGUUUUCUCACCACCAAGGAUGAAACUCUGGUGGUUUUUUUGUUUCAGGAACAGCAACACCAUGAUUUGGUCCCCAGAAGGCUUCUUGCCCACAGCUGUGCACAGUGUUCCUGAACCAACCUCGAGGACCGGAAGCCCCGGAGGGCUGGCUGCUGUGGAGGCUGGCCUGAGGGCCUGUGCUGAGCCCAGAGAAGCCCAGGAGAGCGGCUCAGCAGCCUUGUACUACCCCCUCUGAUCUGAUUCACUCAGAGAGCCUGUGGGCCCGGAGUGGAAUCCUCGGGUGGCGGGGGACUGGGAUGCUGUGAGUUUCACCUAUUCCAGGCUUUGCAGAGUCGAGGGGCGCCUAGAACAAAAUAAACUGGGCUCUCCUGGGGUGCUACUGUGCCCAGCCUGCCUGGUCCCUCUUACUUGGCCUCUUGCAGAACUGGUAGGGACACCCAGUCACCACUUCGUAUUCCCCCGACACACCUAUGUUGUGCGUGUCAGCCUAGGAGCCCCUUCUGAGAGGCCAAGGAAAGCCAUAGUAAGACAGUGCAUUUACCCUGGGCAAGUUAACUUAGUCUCUGAGCCUGUUUUUCUCUUUGCCAUUGACUACUUACCUUGUCCAAAAAUCUCUUGAAGAGUAGGGCUUUUUUCCUGCCUCCCAUCUGUACUAUAUUUCUUCCCGACAAGUCUGCCCCUGAGCAGCUCAAUAAAGAUGCGGUCACGUGA
Oryctolagus cuniculus (rabbit) is the source of this 4434-nucleotide non-coding RNA. NCBI's taxonomy places the organism in Eukaryota, Metazoa, Chordata, Mammalia, Lagomorpha, Leporidae. The record is from RefSeq and is a predicted model, not a curated record.